RNAcentral lists this long non-coding RNA (453 nucleotides) under Vitis vinifera (wine grape). RNAcentral describes it as "long non-coding RNA (VVIN_LNC008029)". The record is from RNAcentral. Lineage: Eukaryota; Viridiplantae; Streptophyta; Magnoliopsida; Vitales; Vitaceae.
UCACACUGAUUCGACCCUUCUCCGGUACUCGUCAGGACAAUUUUUCAAUACUCGCAUGGAUUCUACCUUUUCCCGGUACUCGCCCGGAUUCUAUCAUAUUUCGGUACUCACAUUGAUUCGACCAUUUUUUUGUAAUAGCCGGGACUGGUUUUCGAUACUUGCACGGAUUAUAUCUUUUCCCGGUAGUCUCCCAGAUUCUACUAUUUUUCGGUACUCACACUGAUUCGAGCCUUUUCCGGUACUCGACAGGACAAUUUUUCGAUACUCGCAUGGAUACUUCCUUUUCCUGGUACUCGCCCGGAUUCUAUUAUUUUUCGGUACUCACAUUGAUUCGACCAUUUUUUUGUAAUCGCCUGGACAGUUUUUCAAUACUCGCACGGAUUCUUCCUUUUCCCGGUACUCUUCCGGAUUCUACUAUUUUUUGGUACUCACACUGAUUCGACCCUUCUCCGG